CGGGGUCCCGCGGGCCGAAGGGGCUGGGCGGGUCCUGCACGCAGCAGACCGCAGGGAGGGGCCGGGGACCGCGAGUGCACGCGAGUGGGGGCGGAGGCUUAGCCGGCAGGUGGAGAGCUCAGGUAGCUGGCUGAGCAAUCUGGAAGACUUGGGGCUGGCCUCUCCCCGGGUGGGCUAGGAUGCGGCAGGGUCCCGCGUCUGAGACGUUUCACUUGGGCCGAGGCCCCGCAGACAAAUGCGAGGAGGGGCGAGGACCCGCAGUCAGGAAAAGGUACUGAAAGACAAGCUUCUGUCUCCAGCCGCAUCUCCUGCCGCUCCGCCUGGCUCCCUGGCACUCCUGGCAAACACGGGCCUCUUCCCAAGGUCCCGCACAUCCCAGGCGUUUUCGAGUCCCGGGAAUCCUGCGGCGUCUUGGCUAUACCUCCAGAAAAUCAGGAUAGAAGUUUACACAUGGAUCCUGAGGCUCUGCGAACUGCCAAGCUGCUGCUGAACUGCCUGUCCCCUCUGCUGUGGCCCACCCGGACAGCCAACUGACCAUCCCCUGCUGGACAGCUGGCAAGCCCCAUCCCUCAUGGCCCAGACACCAGAUUCUGGCUGGAACUCGUGAGACACAAAGCUCGCAACAGUGCUCACGUGGCUCGGGUCCAUGCACUUCAGUGUCUAGAAAGGGGCUAGGAGCAGAGCUGUAGCAGACACUGAUUGGUGGCUCCCACGUGGAAGUCGAGUGGCCCUCUUUUUGCACCAUAAGUCCCUUGUCCAC
Molecule: long non-coding RNA, 760 nt
Filed under: Dasypus novemcinctus (nine-banded armadillo)
Lineage: Eukaryota; Metazoa; Chordata; Mammalia; Cingulata; Dasypodidae
Description: lncRNA (ENSDNOG00000051459.1)
Source: RNAcentral